This 264-nucleotide ribosomal RNA is filed under the name uncultured bacterium. RNAcentral describes it as "partial small subunit ribosomal RNA". It matches the Rfam family "Bacterial small subunit ribosomal RNA", at positions 26 to 285 of the family's 1533-position model. The record is from RNAcentral.
AGGACGAACGCUGGCGGCGUGCUUAAUACAUGCAAGUCGAACGGAAUCGAUUCGGUGGCAACACCGAUGAAAAUUGAGUGGCGAACGGGUGCGUAACACGUGAGCAACCUGCCCCAAAGACUGGGAUAACACCGGGAAACCGGUGCUAAUACCGGAUACCCCCACGGAUUCGCAUGGAUCUGUGAGGAAAGGAUUCUGCUUUGGGAGGGGCUCGCGGCCUAUCAGCUUGUUGGGGGGUAACGCCCACCAAGGCGACGACGGGUA